Non-coding RNA from Sordaria brevicollis, 89 nucleotides. The record is from the annotation of a GenBank genome assembly. NCBI's taxonomy places the organism in Eukaryota, Fungi, Ascomycota, Sordariomycetes, Sordariales, Sordariaceae.
GGGCAAUUGGUCUAGUGGUAUGAUUUCCGCUUCGCAUGUCGUUGACACACGCUUGUGGAAGGUCGCGGGUUCAAUUCCCGUAUUGUCCA